CCCCUGAUAGCUCAGCUGGAAGAGCGCAAGACUGUAAUUGUCCAGUUCUGUAAAGAACUUGUCAUCUUGAGGUCCUUGGUUCGAUCCCGAGUCGGGGGA
This 99-nucleotide transfer RNA is filed under the name Penicillium vulpinum. It matches the Rfam family "tRNA". Rfam says of the family: Transfer RNA (tRNA) molecules are approximately 80 nucleotides in length. Lineage: Eukaryota; Fungi; Ascomycota; Eurotiomycetes; Eurotiales; Aspergillaceae. The record is from Rfam by way of RNAcentral.